GUCGGACAUGCAAGAUGACCGGGGAAAUUUAGACAAUAAAACUUUAAUGUCCGAAAAGAAAACCGGCCUUCUUCCAAAAAUCCUGAAAAUAAAACAAGAGAAACAAAAAGAAUAUAAGUCGAUAUAUUUAACACAUUACAUCAAAAUAUUCCCACAAUCAUGAUAACUCAUGAUUGAGACAAUUAAACUCUUAAUUAAGGCAUAAUAAUAAAAUAUUAAUAUCCUUAAUUAAGACACAAUUAAAGCCCUCAAAUAAGGCCCAAUUAACGCCCUCAAUAAAGAGGCAUAAUUAACGAGGAACAAUUACCGCCCUCAAUUAAGGCACAAUUAGCGCGCUUUCCUUUCUGAAACCGGGUCCCGUCCUGAAACCGCCGUCACCGCCACCAUCGACCACCACCGCAGCACCGCUAUGCUAUCGAUCAAAUUGCCUCGUCGUAUGCGAAGCGAACAACGAAGCGUAUCACAUGUAACAUGAAAAAUUGCCAAAAACACCAAAAACCAAACAAAACACAGGGAUUAAACAAAAGGGUCCCGUCCUGAAACCGCCGUCACCGCCACCAUCGACCACCACCGCAGCACCGCUAUGCUAUCGAUCAAAUUGCCUCGUCGUAUGCGAAGCGAACAACGAAGCGUAUCACAUGUAACAUGAAAAAUUGCCAAAAACACCAAAAACCAAACAAAACACAGGGAUUAAACAAAAAAACAAAUACACACAAACAAACAAGAUUAAAAUCAACACCUUUCGCAAUUUCACUCAAAAUCAUGAGAAAAAGAAAGAAUAUUAUAAAUAAUUGUAAUAGAAGGGCAUACCAGUUGAGCCAUGAGGAACCUCAUAGGAUUUGAAAGUCGUAGCAGCAUCAUGUGACAAACCCAUCUUUUUAAUUGCCCCUCUCUCUUGCCUCUCUCUCGAUCUUUUUCUCUUCACGCAGAACAAGAUAUAAGAUGUUAUAUCAAGCUUUAUUACUCAGGUGCCGGAGGAUUGAAUAAACAGAGACCAAACAGGGGUGAGUGAAUGUGGAUGAGUAUGAGUUUGAGUGAGAGAGAGAGAAUUUGAACGCAAGAAAUUCUCAAUUUGAAGUUCUGACCUAGGAGGAGUAGGAGGUUGAAGCGGC
RNAcentral lists this long non-coding RNA (1112 nucleotides) under Daucus carota (carrot). Its description in RNAcentral is "long non-coding RNA (DCAR_LNC004534)". The record is from RNAcentral. Lineage: Eukaryota; Viridiplantae; Streptophyta; Magnoliopsida; Apiales; Apiaceae.